UUCUGGCUAGAGGAGCAAGUGGUCUGGCCAACAAUGCAAUUACCCUGCUCUCCUGAUGGGCAACGGGCUGCCCAGUCCUGCCCAGUCCCAUCAGACAGCAGACAGCUGCUGGAAGCUGCCCUUCUCACUGGCCUCUGAACACUCACAAAAGAGCCUCAACGCGCCAAGGUUUGUAAUAUACCGCUCAUGGAUUCUGGCCACACCAAGAUUUUGAUCAUUCAGUCGAGAGGGUCAGGAGCUGUUGCUGUGUAUUUGCUGUCACUGAGGACCUGGUGGGACAUCAGGAGCUCUGUCAGCUGGGAGACUAGAAAAAGCGUUGUAUUUCAAGGUCCUGAUCAGGAAUGGGUCCCUGUUGUGCUGAACGCUGCGCAAACAGAGAUUAAGAGAAGCACCUGUUUUGGAGAGAUAAAUUCCACAUUCAGGAAGGACUGGCACUUUCCAGAUGGAAGGACACCCUGACUUCUGUUUGCCAUGAGCUGGGGAGUCUGCAUAAGAGCCUGUCGCAGAGGAUGGCAGCAAUCUCAUCACCAUCGUCUCAGUAACAGGGACAUUGGAAGCUGUUGGUUUGCUUUGCUGUACUUCACACAAGAUGUAAAUUGAAGCGCCCGAGUCAGGCGGGGGAUGCAGGAGAGCUUUGUUUAAAGAAAAACUACACAAGAAAGAGCAUCCUGGGAGUUCAGGAGCAAUCGGGCGUGAAAAAAGGAGUAGAAAAAAUGACCUGCACCUUAACCAGGAGCCCUCUUCUUUUUCUCUGAAGUUGCACUCAGCCUAAUACAAGUUCCUGCUAUUCACUUAAAAAAACAACGACAACAAAACCCACUACCACCACUGUGUUUAUGUCAGCAAAGCUAAUAAGCAAUCUGCAAACUGGAACCGUUUGCCUUCAUCAAAGAAGCAGUCUUCCUUCUGAAAUCCUCUGCCUCAUCCUCUGUUUCUGCUAACUUCAUCGAAAAAUCAGUGAAAUGCUCUAAGCCUUCACUGGGCAACCUAAGAUGGGUUCUGUAGUUUCUUUCUGUAUGAGGUUUGAAGACUUGGAGGAAAAGAAAGAUUACAAAUUGGGAACCAAAAAUAGAUUGCUCUCAGACAAACUAAUCUAUUUGCAACAUGUAUUGCAAUCAGUCUACUAAAGAAAGACAAGAUGAAUUGUAGCAGCUGGCUUUGAGUGUGGUCCUCAUUUCGCUCCCACUUAUGGCUCGGUGCAUUGUGAAACACGGUUGUGUAACUGCUUCAAGGUCACCAAAGGAGUUACUCGUAAAAGUGCUAAACAGUGGAAAAGUUAUAUAACAACGUGUUCCUUGGAACAGGACCUAAAAUCUAGAACCAGCAGAAGAUGCAGGUGGCAUGUUUUCCAGUAUAUCAUAUGAAUUGGAGACUAUACUUGUGUGCUCACUGCUUUGGGACAGUUAUCAAGUUUCCCUUUCCAACGAUGCCCUUUGAAUUCAAAGCCCAAGCACUGUUCCAGCCAUCUUGGGCAAGUGGUAUCUUGGAUUGUGGAUAUACAUAGAUAUAUAUCUUAAAUAUAUUAAUUACCUUUUUAACUAUUGAUAGACUGACAAAGGAAAGAAUGUGCUUUGGGCUGCAUUGAGGUCCAUGAAGAUCCUAAGACUGGUCAUAAAAUAAAAGCUACAAGUUUUACAUCCUAAUGUAGGAAACUGUGUUAUGUCAGAAAACCUCUUGCUGAUUUCAGCGGGUUGGCUUGCCUGGCUUCCAUGAAUGUGACUUUAUCUUAAGCUGCCUUGUCUGUACAUUUCAGUAGAGUUUAAAGAGAAAAGACUGAGAGAAGACAAAGAAUUAAAUGGUUGUGUCAUUAAGCCUUCAACAUUUGCAAAUAGGGCUUUGGCGAAGUUUGACUUCCCUUCCCCGUGGUAAGUACUUUGUUUGGUUUUGGUCAUUUAGUUACUUAUUAAACCUCUCACAAAGCUUUUUUAAUAUUUCUCCUUUUAUUAACUGCUGUCACAGAAACUGUAUUUCUUGCUUUCUCUCUUUUCACAUGCUGUAGCCCUGCAACAUCCGAAUUAAGUAAGUGGAAAGGACAGUGAUUUAAUUAUAAAUCUGGAAAAAAGUUUGCAGAAAUUCGUUCUAAAACACAUACAGUAAUUUUCAUGGCAGAAGAUAAACAUGUACCGAAUAUGCCAUUAUGUUUAGAGGGAACCAAACCUUUUCAGCUUAGGGAACCUUCUCCGUUUUGCUUCAUUACCACUUUUGUUGGAAAUAAGCUGUCAUUUGAAAACCUUGCAAGUGGAAAUUAGUACACAAUAACUAGACCAAAGCAGCUCUAUGGCUUUUGUAAAUAUACUGGACAGGCUCCUGUAUGGAAUGUAUUUUAGAUGUUGCUGUGAUGAGAAUCGAUGGGAUUGUCUUUGCUAUGGUGUCCACCCACAUUUUUUUUUUCAUUCAGAAAAUUAAACGCUAAUUUGCUGGGAAAAAAGUUUUAAUAAAAGUAUUAGUUUGUGCUUCAGUGAUUCUUCAUUAAUAAAUGCAGCUGGAAUUGGUCUGUGGGGGAUGUGACGAGCAAAGUGCUGACAGACGCUUCACAUAGCAGUAACUAUUGCUUUUGCCUUUCCAAGUUAAAUUUGAUGUCCUGUCAUAGGGAGACUCUAGUUAACGGUGUAUCUCUCUCUUAUGAGAUUUCCAAUAAAACAGUGUUACUGCAUUAGCUUUGCUGUGCUAGAGACCUACAGCUAAGGCAGGAUGAUCACAGUUAAGGGCAGUGCACUCUUAGACUUCUGUCAGGCUGGUUUAUUCUUGCUCAGGACUUGGUGCUGCACGCAUGGUUGCAGGUUUUGCCUGGGCUAUUAUUCACAGGAGCAGAGCGUGUGGACUAUCCAUGCCACAGGCUCAAGUCCUAGCAAGAUGGACAUCAGCGGGCUCUUGGGUGGGUUUCCCAAACAGUCUCUCCAGGGACAUGGGGCUUGGGAGGCCACAGGCUGCGGAUCAUUAGUCCAGUCAAAUACACAAGAGAACAAAAGAAGUUUAUACAUCUUUCUCUGGGUUGUAUUUUGGCCCCUUUUCACGGCAGGCAAACUGCUAUGAGGCAUCCAAUGUUAAUGUUGUACCUGUUUGCAUUGCUCCCCGAUACCCUCAUUCACAGUAAAAAUCAGAGCUUUCAGAAAGGCGUCAGCUGAUGCCCAUUAGAGAUCAUCCAGACACUGCGGUACCAUAAUGGCUCAGCAGGAGCCACUCUACAGUUAUCUCUGGAUGUACAACUAAUGUGAUAUCUGCUUUGAAAAAGUCAUGACCUAACUGUCUCAGUGUUAGAUCUGAAAGUAAUAAGCCUCCAAAAUGCUACUAGCUCUUGUUUCCUUUUGUAACUGAGACAUGUUUGUCUCAGUUGUGUGAGACAAGCUAAUUUUGUCUAGGAAUGAUGUGUAAUUUCUUGGAGAGUUUUCCUUUGCUGUGAUACUGCAGCCCAUCUCCGUGUUACUUACCUGCUACCAGAGAAGGAAUUAUGUCCACCAGGAGCAGGACCUUCUGCAGCCCACGGCAGCUCGGCUGAGUAACUUCCCUUCCUACAGGAAAGACAAGGUAGUAGCUUUGGAGCAUCGCCCUCCUAGUUUAAUAAAGAUAUUUACAUUUUACAGUUUUUAUUCUGUGAUCUAAACCCAUACCCAUAAUAAGUAUAGAAAUAUUAUAUACUAGAUAUUUUAAUUAAAAGUUUUAUUUAUGACAUUUUAGUCCAUUUGAAACACUGAGAAUAGCUCUAGGUUUAAUGCAGGAAGGAUUUUCUUUAUCUACGUAUUAAAAGAAAAAGGAAAUGGAAUAUGGUUGUUUUAACAUUUUAAGUGUCUUUAUGUCAAGUAUAACUGGAAUCCUGGAUUUUAUUUUUUAAUGAAACUUAAUUCAGCCUAGUUAGGAAACCAAUAACCAUAUUUUGUAAUUCAGUUUAUUAAAGUAAUAAACACAGCUAUUCCAGGAAAUGAAAACAUUUCUGGAUAUGAAAUACAGAGUUCUCUGAAGAAGAUAUUCAACUGUGGGUACCUGAUAUUUAGUAAGUAAGCCUGUACAUUUUGCUAUGAAACAGAGUUCUUUCUUUCUAAAGAUACUGGGUGUCAUCUGAUUUCACUGAUGUCUGUGAACAUUGAAGAUCCUUAGCAUUUUCGAGAACUCAUCUGACUUCAUUGGGAUAUUUAAAGUAAAUUUAGAUGUCUAAUUUUAAGCAAGAGAUAGUCAUCCCUUAGGACCUUAUUUUUGAAUAUGAAGACAGCAUCAGCUGCGUUAAGCCUGAAAUAACAGAACUAGAAUUGAUAUUUAAUAAUGCACUAAAUCCUUAAGAGGCUACAGCAUAAGAAUACCAAAGUACAAGAUAGUUAUUAAGAGAGGCCAUUAGUAGAAUACAGCAGAGUGUUUGUUAUUCAUCAUGAUCAGUGAAUUCCUAGAGUUUUAAGAGUAAAGUGGAAGAUACAAAAAUUGGUCGUGGCCAUCCAACUGGAUCUAGGCUCUUUCUCAAGCAGACAAGGACUCAUGCAGUUUAUGUUGAAGAUUUUCUUCGUUUGUCUUUUAUUAAAAUAAGUAAUAUUUUAAAGAGGCUGUUUGGCUGCAGGUUAUCCCAGAGGCAGAAGUGCGGGGACAGACCAUAGCCUCUUAGCCUCAGGUAGUAGAGCAGGGGCUGAAAGGAAGGAUGGUCUGAGUUGCUGCAGAUGCCUUGCACCAAAUCAGUGCUUGAGACCUGAGCCCAGGAGACAAUGGAAAUUGCCCAUUUAUGCUAUAUAGCAUUGUAAGAGGAAAGAGUAAAGUUUAUAACUCAGCAAGACUUUUCUACCUAUGAAAGUGUUUGUUAGAAAUGUAGGCAGCUUUAAAAACUUUUCCUAUAAAUCAGCAUACUAAUAGAGAUACAUCAUAAACUAUAAAAAAAUUAUGAAUAAAUGUAGAUUUUUAAGCAUUGAUCCCAAAUCAACCUAUUCUUGAUUUUUUCUUCUUUUCUUUUAGUCUUUCCGUUUUUCCAGUAAUACAGUCAUCCUAGUCAAUGAAGUUGCCUUUUCUUCUUUUAUAGGCACUUAACAGAAUUAUUAAAAAAUAUUAAAUUGCAACUAAAUGUGAGCUAUGUAGAGGUGAAUUCUUUGGUUAUUGAUAAAGUUUGCAUAAGCCUUGAUGUUCUGCAGAAGUCACUUUAAUUUACCAUUAAAUAUUUUGAGACAAUUGCAGAAGGUAACAGAGAUGUGAGGUUUCCUACAAAAGCCACAUCCGCUGCUACGAAGCCUUCCCUGGUGGUGCUGUUCCAGGUGGCUGAUCUUUCACUUCUUGUCUCAAGAACUGGACUGGGCUUGACAACCUCCCAUUCCUCAGGACCUACAGGAGCUGCAGUUAAUUAAU
This is a long non-coding RNA of Cuculus canorus (common cuckoo), 5310 nucleotides long. RefSeq lists it as uncharacterized. Lineage: Eukaryota; Metazoa; Chordata; Aves; Cuculiformes; Cuculidae. The record is from RefSeq and is a predicted model, not a curated record. The transcript has 12 exons.